RNAcentral lists this ribosomal RNA (260 nucleotides) under uncultured bacterium. RNAcentral describes it as "partial 16S ribosomal RNA". It matches the Rfam family "Bacterial small subunit ribosomal RNA", at positions 202 to 503 of the family's 1533-position model. The record is from RNAcentral.
AAGAUUUAUCGCUUCGGGAGGGGCCCGCGUUCGAUUAGGUAGUUGGUGAGUAACGGCUCACCAAGCCGACGAUCGAUAGCUGGUCUGAGAGGAUGAUCACCACACUGGGACUGAGACACGGCCCAGACUCCUACGGGAGGCAGCAGUGGGAAUAUUGGACAAUGGGCGCAAGCCUGAUCCAGCAAUGCCGCGUGAGUAUGAAGGCCUUAGGGUUGUAAAGCUCUUUUGCCCGCGACGAUGAUGACAGCCCCGGCUAACUU